CCCUUAGAUGUUCUGGGCCGCACGCGUGCUACACUGAUGCAUUCAACGAGUCUAAAACCUGGUCUGAUAGGGCUGGGUAAUCUUUUGAAAGUGCAUCGUGAUUGGGAUAGAUGAUUGCAAUUCUUCAUCUUCAACGAGGAAUGCCUAGUAAACGCAAGUCAUCAGCUUGCAUUGAUUACGUCCCUGCCCUUUGUACACACCGCCCGUCGCUCCUACCGAUUGAAUGCUCAGGUGAGCCAUUCGGACUUUCAUCAUGCUGGUUUCCAGUUUUGAUGAAGGAAAGUCUUGCGAACCUUAUCAUUUAGAGGAAGGAGAAGUCGUAACA
RNAcentral lists this ribosomal RNA (325 nucleotides) under uncultured eukaryote. Its description in RNAcentral is "partial 18S ribosomal RNA". It matches the Rfam family "Eukaryotic small subunit ribosomal RNA", at positions 1470 to 1796 of the family's 1831-position model. The record is from RNAcentral.